This 116-nucleotide ribosomal RNA is filed under the name Sinocyclocheilus grahami. The record is from RNAcentral. Lineage: Eukaryota; Metazoa; Chordata; Actinopteri; Cypriniformes; Cyprinidae.
UACACAGCCAUAUCACCCUGCAGCCCAAGACUGGUUGCUCACUGAAGCUAAGCAGGGCUGAGCCUGGUCAGUACCUGGAUGGGAGACCUUCUGGGAAAACAAGGUUGUUGCUGGAA